Danio rerio (zebrafish) is the source of this 925-nucleotide non-coding RNA. The record is from RefSeq and is a predicted model, not a curated record. NCBI's taxonomy places the organism in Eukaryota, Metazoa, Chordata, Actinopteri, Cypriniformes, Danionidae.
UGCACAUUUGCAGAAACAAGCUUGCACGCACAUUAUCAUCUCGUGUUUAUUCAUUACCCUUUACAAAAAGAUAGGCAUACUUUGAUAUUUCCAAUAUUUAAAAAUAAACCACGCACUUAAAAAUAUGUUUCUCAAAGGACGAUAUAGCAUCAUUCUGUCCUGAGCUAAACCACGCCCUCGUUACGAUGGUUGCGCUUACGUAACGUCAACGUCUCAGGCGGGAGAAAUUGAAAGCAUUGUACUUCAGUGGGGAAAGAGGCACGCCGUGGAAGAGCAAUCUUAAUAGUAAGUGUGCAAAGAUUGUAUGUAGUUCUUUGUUUAAGACACUUCAUCUAAAUUUGUCCUCCUAAAUGUUCAUCAUAUACGGCUUGUGUAACUGAUGACAACCGAUUAAAUUCUUAUUUUAUCUAGUAAUUUGUUAGCUCCAAGUUUAAUGAUAAUUUGAGAAAUUAUAUAUGGUACGACAGCAAUAAAAUAAUAAAAACAUUUAGUGUGGAUGUUCCCAAUGUUUAGAUGCAAACAAAACAAUAUUAUUUAUAAAUGGAUUAUAUAUAUCAUUUAGGGUAAACAGUGUAAAAUGCGCUUAUUUUCGAGAUAGCACGCUUCCAUGCAGACUGUUUUUUAAGCAGAAGUUUGGUUUCAUAAGAAACGCAUGCGUGAGUCAACUCCUGACCCAAACUCCAACCCAGACGGUGGCGGUAAUGUUCCAAAAGCUGGUUGCCAAACGCUAUGAAGAUCACAAGAAGAAAAAGAAGUUUGGCGUUUCAAAACAGUGGAUUCCGGUCAGAAAGACACACAUGAGGAAGCUCGACUCAGCUUGGCUUGCAGACAGAUGAGGACGGUGAUUGCCUGUCAUACACCUAAAGAAAGAACAGGGGCAUUAAAGACACAACUAUAGUGAACGUGAUGAAGAAAAAUUAUUUGG